RNAcentral lists this ribosomal RNA (602 nucleotides) under Pseudoaliinostoc sp. BACA0057. RNAcentral's name for it is "bacterial SSU rRNA". It matches the Rfam family "Bacterial small subunit ribosomal RNA", at positions 134 to 768 of the family's 1533-position model. Lineage: Bacteria; Bacillati; Cyanobacteriota; Cyanophyceae; Nostocales; Nodulariaceae. The record is from RNAcentral.
AGGUCGGGGACAACAGUUGGAAACGACUGCUAAUACCGGAUGUGCCGAAAGGUGAAAGAUUAAUUGCCUGAAGAUGAGCUCGCGUCUGAUUAGCUAGUUGGUGUGGUAAGAGCGCACCAAGGCGACGAUCAGUAGCUGGUCUGAGAGGAUGAUCAGCCACACUGGGACUGAGACACGGCCCAGACUCCUACGGGAGGCAGCAGUGGGGAAUUUUCCGCAAUGGGCGAAAGCCUGACGGAGCAAUACCGCGUGAGGGAGGAAGGCUCUUGGGUUGUAAACCUCUUUUCUCAGGGAAUAAAAAAAUGAAGGUACCUGAGGAAUAAGCAUCGGCUAACUCCGUGCCAGCAGCCGCGGUAAUACGGAGGAUGCAAGCGUUAUCCGGAAUGAUUGGGCGUAAAGGGUCCGCAGGUGGCAGUGUAAGUCUGCUGUCAAAGAAUGAGGCUUAACCUCAUCAAGGCAGUGGAAACUACACAGCUAGAGUACGGUCGGGGUAGAAGGAAUUCCUGGUGUAGCGGUGAAAUGCGUAGAGAUCAGGAAGAACACCGGUCGCGAAUGCGUUCUGCUAGACCUGUACUGACACUGAGGGACGAAAGCUAGGGGAG